UUAAUAUUUUUCUUAAAAAAAUAUUUUUUGUUUUUAUUUUAUAAAUUUAAUUAUAAAUUUUAUAUUUAA
Molecule: transfer RNA, 69 nt
Filed under: Bactrothrips quadrituberculatus
Lineage: Eukaryota; Metazoa; Arthropoda; Insecta; Thysanoptera; Phlaeothripidae
Description: tRNA-Ser
Source: RNAcentral